UACAGAGGGGGCAAGCGUUGUUCGGAAUUACUGGGCGUAAAGGGCGCGUAGGCGGCCUGCUAAGUCGAACGUGAAAUCCCCGGGCUCAACCCGGGAACUGCGUCCGAUACUGGCAGGCUUGAAUUCGGGAGAGGGAUGCGGAAUUCCAGGUGUAGCGGUGAAAUGCGUAGAUAUCUGGAGGAACACCGGUGGCGAAGGCGGCAUCCUGGACCGAAAUUGACGCUGAGACGCGAAAGCGUAGGGAGCAAACAGG
This 253-nucleotide ribosomal RNA is filed under the name uncultured bacterium. RNAcentral's name for it is "partial 16S ribosomal RNA". It matches the Rfam family "Bacterial small subunit ribosomal RNA", at positions 524 to 776 of the family's 1533-position model. The record is from RNAcentral.